Long non-coding RNA from Triticum aestivum (bread wheat), 829 nucleotides. RefSeq lists it as uncharacterized. The record is from RefSeq and is a predicted model, not a curated record. NCBI's taxonomy places the organism in Eukaryota, Viridiplantae, Streptophyta, Magnoliopsida, Poales, Poaceae. The transcript has 3 exons.
ACGACACCGUCGGGGCAGUUUUGGCACCGCCCCACACCUCGCCCGCCUUCUUCCUACAGCCUGUGCCAGCCACCGCCUCGACCGCCGCCGGAGAACCUCCACCCAUGCCUCCCGCGCCGUCCACGCGCCACGCACCGCCGCGCUGUCCGCACCCGCGGCGCCGAUCAGGCCGACCAGGGGUUGGCGCCGCUUGGCAGGGGCAGCAGCAGCACGCCCCCGACAUAGACGCCUCCGGCCCUGGACGAUCUGAAUCGUCCGUCUGAUUUUUUGCCCGGCAAGGGCAGCAGCAUGCCUCCGACGCGGACGCCUCCGGCCAUGGGGUUGUUGGAUGCCCUGGGGUUGCUGCUGACGCCUUGCGCCCUGCUGUAGUUGGCUGCUGCAAAAGCAAACUGAAUCUCCUGCUGUUGUUGGCUGCUGCAGACGCAAACUGAAUCUCCUGCUGUUUAUGGCUGUAGCAGACGCAAAAUGAAUCUCCUGCUGUUGCUAGCUGUUGCAGACGCAUAUCCUGCUGUCGCUGGCUACUGCAGACGCGGAUGCUCAGGUUCAGGAUGCAUAUACGGUUUUUAAGCGAGGAAUUUUUCUCUCAAAGUCGAGCGAUCUGGGUAACUAUCAGAGAUGGAAUUACCGGAGAGACACUAAUGUGAUUAUCUUAAAAUGUUAUUAAGGAUGCACCGGCUAUCCUAAUCUCAGCCCGGAGGUGGAAAAACCAGUUGUUCAUGCACAGUCCAAAAACACAUAAUUUUUUAGAAGAUCUUAUAUUCAGUCCUCCUGCUCUUGAAAGGCAAGAUUUUUCUGACUUGCAUCUAUUUGCUAGAAUUGGUUGUAGAUG